CAAUAAGCGGAGGAAAAGAAACCAACAGGGAUUGCCUUAGUAACGGCGAGUGAAGCGGCAACAGCUCAAAUUUGAAAUCUGGCUCCUUCAGGGUCCGAGUUGUAAUUUGUAGAAGAUGCUUCGGGUGAGGCUCCAGUCUAAGUUCCUUGGAACAGGACGUCAUAGAGGGUGAGAAUCCCGUACGUGGCUGGUAGCCUUCGCCCGUGUGAAGCUCUUUCGACGAGUCGAGUUGUUUGGGAAUGCAGCUCAAAAUGGGUGGUAAAUUUCAUCUAAAGCUAAAUAUUGGCCAGAGACCGAUAGCGCACAAGUAGAGUGAUCGAAAGAUGAAAAGCACUUUGGAAAGAGAGUUAAACAGUACGUGAAAUUGUUGAAAGGGAAGCGCUUGCAACCAGACUUGCGCGUAGGUGAUCAUCCGGUGUUCUCACCGGUGUACUCGCCUACGCUCAGGCCAGCAUCGGUUCAGGUGGUGGGAUAAAGGCCUUGGGAAUGUGGCUCCUUUCGGGGAGUGUUAUAGCCCUCGGUGCAAUGCCGCCAACCUGGACCGAGG
RNAcentral lists this ribosomal RNA (547 nucleotides) under Chalara brevispora. Its description in RNAcentral is "LSU rRNA". It matches the Rfam family "Eukaryotic large subunit ribosomal RNA", at positions 44 to 594 of the family's 3401-position model. The record is from RNAcentral. Lineage: Eukaryota; Fungi; Ascomycota; Leotiomycetes; Helotiales.